RNAcentral lists this ribosomal RNA (1170 nucleotides) under Triticum aestivum (bread wheat). RNAcentral describes it as "partial small subunit ribosomal RNA". The record is from RNAcentral. Lineage: Eukaryota; Viridiplantae; Streptophyta; Magnoliopsida; Poales; Poaceae.
AUGUACAAUGGGUCAGAAGUAACUUGCUAUGAUGAGUUGCGCUUAACCAAAAGGAAUUUUCAUGAUCUUUGCACGAUGUUGCGUAUGAAGUGUGGUCUGAAAGAUAGCGUAUAUGUCACUAUAGAAGAAAAGGUUGCUAUGUUCUUGUUGGUGGUUGGACAUGGUAUUAAAAUGAGAGUGUUGCGUGGCACUUACAAACGUUCUUUAGAGACUAUCAGUAGGCACUUCUCGAAUGUGCUGACAACCAUUCUUUCCCUAACCGGGGAGUUUAUCAAGCUUCCCGAUCCUUCUAUUGAACCUCCGGAUGAUUACAAAUGGAAGUGGUUUGGAAAUGCCUUGGGAGCACUAGAUGGGUGUCAUGUUGAUGUUUCUGUCGUUGCGGCUGACGAAGGGAGGUAUAGGAACAGAAAGCGAGAUAUCACCACUAACAUGCUAGGUGUUGUUGACUGGAACAUGAAAUUUCUUUAUGUUCUACCUGGCUGGGACGGAUCUGCAUCUGACUCCAGAGUGUUGCGUGAUGCAAUGAGAAAUGAUCGUCAAGAUGCAUUUGUUAUACCUCAUGGAAAAUACUACUUAGUGGAUGCUGGCUACACCAAUGGACCUGGAUUUCUGGCUCCAUUCAGAUCGACUAGAUACCACUUGAAAGAGUGGGUCUCAAGUCAACAACAACCCCAAACUGACAAAGAGUUGUAUAACUUGCGCCAUUCUCGGGCUAGAAAUGUUGUGGAGAGAACUUUUGGCCUAUGGAAGAAAAAAUGGGCUAUUCUACGAAUUCAAUCUUUCUUUGACAUAAAGGACCAGAUUCGAAUUAUUAAUGCUUGUUGUGUGUUAUACAACUUUGCAAGGGAUAGGCAGCAUGUGAUGGAUGAUUUAUUGCUACAAGAAGUUGAUGCUGACCUAGCAAAUUUGGAACAUGAGCCCAUGGACGAAACUGACUUGAUUACAUCUAUUCAAGUCACUAAUGAAUGGACCAACUUUAGGCAACAAUUAUCGCAAGACAUGUAUGCUGAAUACCUUCUCAAGCAUGCUGAAUUAGAGAUGGCCAGCAUGGCUGAAGGAACUGAUACUGGAAAGAGGACUUAUGUCACAUGGGAUGAUGAGAUGGACACUGCCUUGCUUGAGGUACUUGUUCAUCAUCACAACAUGGGUGACCAUUCACAAAAUGGAUGA